This 451-nucleotide ribosomal RNA is filed under the name Acanthodrilinae sp. 830. RNAcentral describes it as "partial 16S ribosomal RNA". It matches the Rfam family "Bacterial large subunit ribosomal RNA", at positions 1859 to 2597 of the family's 2925-position model. The record is from RNAcentral. Lineage: Eukaryota; Metazoa; Annelida; Clitellata; Crassiclitellata; Acanthodrilidae.
CUGCCCAGUGACAAGUUCAACGGCCGCGGUAUCCUAACCGUGCAAAGGUAGCAUAAUCAUUUGCCUAUUAAUUGUAGGCUAGAAUGAACGGAUAAACGAAAUAAAAACUGUCUCAAUCAGCAACCUAAAAAUUAACAUCUACAUGAAGAGUUGUAGAUAAAAUCGAAGGACAAGAAGACCCUAUAGAGCUUUCUAUUUUAAUAUAAGAAACUACUUAUAUAAAAUUCGGUUGGGGCGACCAAGGACUUAUACAACAUCCUAAAUUAAAAAGAUUUAUAAAUCAAAUAACUGACCCUUAUAAGAUCACAAGACCAAGCUACCUUAGGGAUAACAGGCUAAUUCUAUUUGAGAGUUCAUAUCGACAAUAGGGAUUGGCACCUCGAUGUUGGCUUAGGGUAUCUCCAUAGCGCAAAAGUUAUGAAUAGAUGGUUUGUUCAACCAAUAAUACCCU